AACGCUGGCGGCAGGCCUAACACAUGCAAGUCGAGCGAACCCUUCGGGGUUAGCGGCGGACGGGUUAGUAACGCGUGGGAAUAUACCCUUUGGUACGGAAUAGCCUCCGGGAAACUGAGAGUAAUACCGUAUGUGCCCUUCGGGGGAAAGAUUUAUCGCCAAAGGAUUAGCCCGCGUUGGAUUAGAUAGUUGGUGGGGUAAUGGCCUACCAAGUCUACGAUCCAUAGCUGGUUUGAGAGGAUGAUCAGCAACACUGGGACUGAGACACGGCCCAGACUCCUACGGGAGGCAGCAGUGGGGAAUCUUAGACAAUGGGCGCAAGCCUGAUCUAGCCAUGCCGCGUGGACGACGAAGGCCUUAGGGUUGUAAAGUCCUUUCAGAUGGGAAGAUAAUGACGGUACCAUCAGAAGAAGCCCCGGCUAACUCCGUG
RNAcentral lists this ribosomal RNA (430 nucleotides) under uncultured bacterium. RNAcentral's name for it is "bacterial SSU rRNA". It matches the Rfam family "Bacterial small subunit ribosomal RNA", at positions 32 to 507 of the family's 1533-position model. The record is from RNAcentral.